This is a long non-coding RNA of Serinus canaria (Common canary), 2021 nucleotides long. RefSeq lists it as uncharacterized. NCBI's taxonomy places the organism in Eukaryota, Metazoa, Chordata, Aves, Passeriformes, Fringillidae. The record is from RefSeq and is a predicted model, not a curated record. The transcript has 6 exons.
UAAAAUCCAUGGCAGAGCACCCCAUUCUGGGUGAGGGGGUUGCCACAAGCAGGCCAGUCACUGUUUGUCUCUGCAGGGGGAGUGUCAAGUGUGACUCUGUUACAGCACUGUUCUUUGUCUUUAUUUUUAGGAAGCAAAGCCGGAUAUCAACAGUCAAGGUCAGGUGGGCAAGAUGAGCAGUGACCAGCAGAGAGAAGUAGCUAUUGCGCGGGUCUCAAUUUCUGGUGCAGCACUAAGCAUCCAUUCUUGUUUGUGUGCUUUAGGCAAUCCACUCGGAGUAUGCCAAGCCCCGUCACCAACCGGCCGAUAGCCUGGGUUUGCUGCUCUUCUGAAGUCUUUGGAAGUAUUACAGGACUUGGUGAUGGAGCCUUUGCUUUUUCUAUUCAGAGGUGUCACCCAGGUAGCCUUUGGCCACAGCCAAGGAGUUGCGGCAUACCCUGCAACGACAGCAUCGGCCUCUGAGCGUGGCUGAAGACUGCAGCCCAAGGAGCUGGGCGUUCUUAGGAGAUGCUGACUAGAAGACAACAGCCUGGUCACAGCAGGGACUUCCCAGCCGGUGAGGUGGCCUUCUUUUGCACCUGACAUGAACUGGCAUCCCCAGAUGUCCGAGAGAUAAGUCAAGGGCUAUGAGGAGAUGAAAGUGGGGUGCUGGGUUGGGAUGCACGAGGAGGGGUUUUUGAGUCCGCUUUGGAGAGGGGGAUGUCCUUGAAGCGGCCCCUUAUCCCACAUAAUAGGGAAGUGUCACUUUGGACCACAGUGCCAAGGUGUGCAGGGCAGAGCAGUCCCGGUGUUUAUUGUCACUUGUCUAUUGUGCCUUAUGUGUGUCUGGGUGUCUCAUCUCUUUUACCAUAGCCUUUUGAGGGGCCUGUCAGAAACCUUGGCACCAUUCUUAGCAAUCCUGAUCUCUGCAUUCCUUGCCCUGGCAGCCAUGCCAUAGAACAUUUGACUUGGGUGCUCAGACAGGUAUCGGAAUCGCAUCUCUCUUUGGAAGCAUCCAGUCAGAUGUCUUUUCAGGUCUUGUGCUGAGCUGUAUGGACAGCUAUGCCCCGCCUGGAUCCAUUAUGGCGGAUUAGGACUUUUAAGAAUGUGAGGACAGGUAGAGGAUUCUGACUGUAGGAUUCUCAGGAGUUCAUCUUUGCAGUUUUUGGAUGAAAUCAUUCAGAUAGCAUCUUCUUCCUCCAAUGUUUUCUGAGCCGGUCAGCUUGCCAUCAGUGUCCCCUCGGUCAUCUCAUUUUGCAACCUCUCGGUCCUCGCAGUCAUCUUUCUUGCCACGAGAUUUCUGUCUAUGUUGUGUCCCCAUUGUUUGUCAAGUCCUGUCUGUCCUGCGUCAUGGGUUUCUGCACAUAUUUGUGCUGGAGCUGCUCUACCCUGUUGCGUAUCCUGGUGCAAUAGGACAAGUCCUGGGGACUUGGAAUUUGUAACGUGGGGUGGACUUUAGAUGGUAUUCCUAGAUGGACUCAAGAUGUUUGGAGUUGUGAAGUUAUCCUGCAGCCCUUUGACUUUUGUCCUAACUUCCUUUCAGAUGCAGAAGGAUAAAACCUGUGCCAGAGCGCCCCAUUCUGGGUCAGGGGGGUCCCCCAGGCAGGUCAGUCACUGUUUGAGUUUGCAGCGGAAGUGUAAAUGGUGACUGUUACAGCACUGUUCUUUGUCUUUCUUUUUAGGAAGUAAAUCUGGAUAUCAGCAGUCAAGGCAAUCGAUUCUGAGUAUGCCAAGCCCUUGUCACCAACAAGCUGAUGGACCGGGUUUGCUGCUCUUCUGAGCCUGCUGGAAGUAUUACAGGACUUGUUGAUGAAGCCCUGAAAUUUUCUAUUUAAAGGUGCCACCUGGAGGGCCUUUGGUAACUGCCAAGGAGUUGGGGCCUACCCUGUGACGAUGGUGUCAGCCUCCAAGCGCGGCCGAAGCGUGCAGUCCACGGAGCCGGGCGGUCUUAGGAGACGCUAAGAGACAGCAGCCCAGUGCCAGCACGAACUUCCCAGACAGCUUGUACAUGACAGGGAUUAGCAUUCCCAGAUGUCCAAGAG